CUGCGGAAGGAUCAUUAAAGAAAUUUAAUAAUUUUGAUAUUGGAUUUUUUUGUUUUGGCAAGAGCGUGAGAGCUUUUACUGGGCAAGAAGACAAGAGAUGGAGAGUCCAGCCGGGCCUGCGCUUAAGUGCGCGGUCUUGCUAGGCUUGCAAAUUUCUUUCUUGCUAUUCCAAACAGUGAGACUUCUCUGUUUUUGUUAUAGGACAAUUAAAACCGUUUCAAUACAACACACUGUGGAGUUUUUAUACUUUUGCAACUUUUUCUUUGGGCUUCGAGCAAUCGAGCCCAGAGGUAACAAACACAAACAAUUUUAUUUAUUCAUUAAAUUUUUGUCAAAAACAAGAAUUUUCGUAACUGGAAAUUUUAAAAAUAAUUAAAAACUUUCAACAACGGAUCUCUUGGUUCUCGCAUCGAUGAAGAACGCAGCGAAAUGCGAUACGUAAUGUGAAUUGCAGAAUUCCGUGAAUCAUCGAAUCUUUGAACGCACAUUGCGCCCCUUGGUAUUCCAGGGGGCAUGCCUGUUUGAGCGUCAUUUCCUUCUCAAACAUUCUGUUUGGUAGUGAGUGAUACUCUCUGGAGUUAACUUGAAAUUGCUGGCCUUUUCAUUGGAUGUUUUUUUUCCAAAGAGAGGUUUCUCUGCGUGCUUGAGGUAUAAUGCAAGUACGGUCGUUUUAGGUUUUACCAACUGCGGCUAAUCUUUUUUGUACUGAGCGUAUUGAAACGUUAUCGAUAAGAAGAGAGCGUCUAGGCGAACAAUGUUCUUAAAGUUUGACCUCAAAUCAGGUAGGAGUACCCGCUGAACUUAAGCAUAUCAAUAAGCCGGAGGAAA
Molecule: ribosomal RNA, 828 nt
Filed under: Saccharomyces uvarum
Lineage: Eukaryota; Fungi; Ascomycota; Saccharomycetes; Saccharomycetales; Saccharomycetaceae
Description: eukaryotic LSU rRNA
Rfam family: 5.8S ribosomal RNA (bases 378-531)
Source: RNAcentral